RNAcentral lists this ribosomal RNA (440 nucleotides) under uncultured bacterium. RNAcentral's name for it is "partial 16S ribosomal RNA". It matches the Rfam family "Bacterial small subunit ribosomal RNA", at positions 338 to 795 of the family's 1533-position model. The record is from RNAcentral.
CCUACGGGUGGCAGCAGUGGGGAAUAUUGCACAAUGGGGGAAACCCUGAUGCAGCGACGCCGCGUGAGUGAAGAAGUAAUUCGUUAUGUAAAGCUCUAUCAGCAGGGAAGAAAAUGACGGUACCUGAGUAAGAAGCCCCGGCUAACUACGUGCCAGCAGCCGCGGUAAUACGUAGGGGGCAAGCGUUAUCCGGAUUUACUGGGUGUAAAGGGAGCGUAGACGGCAGCGCAAGUCUGGAGUGAAAUGCCGGGGCCCAACCCCGGAACUGCUCUGGAAACUGUGAAGCUGGAGUGCAGGAGAGGUAAGCGGAAUUCCUGGUGUAGCGGUGAAAGGCGUAGAUAUCAGGAGGAACACCGGCGGCGAAGGCGGCUUACUGGACUGUAACUGACGUUGAGGCUCGAAGGCGUGGGGAGCAAACAGGAUUAGAUACCCGAGUAGUC